Molecule: ribosomal RNA, 490 nt
Filed under: uncultured bacterium
Lineage: Bacteria
Description: bacterial SSU rRNA
Rfam family: Bacterial small subunit ribosomal RNA
Source: RNAcentral
GAUAAACGCUGGCGGCGUGCCUAACACAUGCAAGUCGAACGAAGAGGCCCCUUCGGGGGUACUUCAGUGGCGGACGGGUGAGUAACACGUAGGUGACCUACCCCAAAGCGGGGAAUAACAGUCCGAAAGGAUUGCUAAUACCCCAUGUGGUCAAUGAGUUUAGAGGCUUGUUGACUAAAGGAGCAAUCCGUUUUGGGAGGGGCCUGCGCCCCAUCAGCUAGUUGGUAGGGUAAUGGCCUACCAAGGCUACAACGGGUAGGGGCCUGAGAGGGUGACCCCCCACAUUGGCACUGACACACGGGCCAAAACUCCUACGGGAGGCAGCAGUGAGGAAUAUUGCUCAAUGGGCGAAAGCCUGAAGCAGCAACGCCGCGUGCGCGAUGAAGGUCUUCGGAUCGUAAAGCGCUUUUGAGAGGGACGAGAUAGGACGGUACCUCUUGAAUAAGUCACGGCUAACUACGUGCCAGCAGCCGCGGUAAAACGUAGGUGG